Molecule: unclassified non-coding RNA, 650 nt
Filed under: Hevea brasiliensis (rubber tree)
Lineage: Eukaryota; Viridiplantae; Streptophyta; Magnoliopsida; Malpighiales; Euphorbiaceae
Source: RNAcentral
GCUGUGCUUGGAGUAUCCAUCGCUUUGAUUGCAGAAGAAACCCAACAUCAGAUAUUAAACUGUUAAAUAACGGCAUCAACGUAAAAUUGGGCAGAAGUAACGAACCAUUGGAAUCACCAAUUUAUGAGUAGAAGUAUUGAUAGUCCAUUAGUUUAUUUUUCAAAUAACUGACAUUUAAAUCCUUCUACAACUGUAUCAGCAGCUGAAGUAAAUUCACUACUAAAUGUUCUUUUGAUUGCCCAUUUAUCUAAUUCCUCACUAGUUACUAAAUUACCAAAUAAUUGCCCCUUGUGAUUAAAUUAUCGAUUAAAAUUCUCCUCCAGAACCCUAGUACUUCAAGGUCACUACAAACAAAGAGUACAUCAAUUUAAACUAUUCAGUUAUCCAAAUUCCAAAUCAUGUGUUUCUUAAGUAUCUAGUUCACAAAGAAGUUGGCAUGUGCACUAUGAAGAGCAAUCAUUAUUCAGAAUACAUAUUUACCAAAGCAAAUUUCACAAGUAUUUAUGUCUUUGAAUAUUGAUGACUAGAUGAUAGAAGUUUUUCUUCUAUUUAGCACAAAUAUCAAAUGAGUAAUCAAGAUGAAUACCUAAGCUGGCAUUGGACGCUGCAGAAGUUAGAGGUGCACUAGAAUUUAUAGGAGGAAGUGAAGC